GGCGAUCAGAUACCGCCCUAGUUCUGACCGUAAACGAUGCCAACUAGCGAUCCGCCAGUCGACUCAUCGCUCUGGUGGGGAGCUUCCCGGAAACGAAAGUCUUCCGGUUCCGGGGGAAGUAUGGUUGCAAAGCUGAAACUUAAAGGAAUUGACGGAAGGGCACCACCAGGAGUGGAGCCUGCGGCUUAAUUUGACUCAACACGGGGAAACUCACCCGGCCCGGACACCGUAAGGAUUGACAGAUUGAUAGCUUUUUCAUGAUUCGGUGGAUGGUGGUGCAUGGCCGUUCUUAGUUCGUGGAGCGAUUUGUCUGGUUUAUUCCGAUAACGAGCGAGACUCUGGCCUACUAAAUAGUUGGUACAUUGCCACUGUGUGCACAACUUCUUAGAGGGAUUUUCGGUGUUCAGCCGCACGAAAUUGAGCAAUAACAGGUCUGUGAUGCCCUUAGAUGUCCGGGGCUGCACGCGCGCUACACUGGCAAAAUCAGCGUGCUUGUCCUCCCCCGAAAGGGGUUGGUAAACCGAUGAAAAUUUGCCGUGAUUGGGAUCGGACAUUGCAAUUAUUGUCCGUGAACGAGGAAUCCCUUGUAAGGGCGAGUCAUCAACUCGUCCUGAAUACGUCCCUGCCCUUUGUA
RNAcentral lists this ribosomal RNA (634 nucleotides) under Rotylenchulus reniformis. RNAcentral describes it as "SSU rRNA". It matches the Rfam family "Eukaryotic small subunit ribosomal RNA", at positions 1003 to 1664 of the family's 1831-position model. Lineage: Eukaryota; Metazoa; Nematoda; Chromadorea; Rhabditida; Hoplolaimidae. The record is from RNAcentral.